UCAUAUCUAUACAUAUUAUAUAUACCUGCAUAUGGAUUUAUAUUUGUAUGUAUUUAUUAAAGGAAAUAUUUGAGAUUGUCUAUCAGACUGUCAUAAUCUGGACAACAGUCAUUCUUCCACUUGGUGUUUCUUGUGUGGAUGGAUGAACAAUUAAUUUGGAAAGGAACAGUAUCUCCAGGAUACAUUGGAAAUUUCCAUGGCAUCACCAACUUCUCAUAUAGUUCUCUAUCAGUAAUCAGAAAAGUUAAAAUAAAAAAAAAGAAAGUUUUUUUUAACCUUUUAUUCUCUAUUAUUUCCAGUUUCUUUUAAAGCACUAUUGCUAACUGUUCUUAGAUACUCAAAAUUGCCACUUCCAUUGCCAAGUCCCCAUCAUUCUAUUUGACUCUUAAAAUUAAAGCAAUAGUAGCAAUGGCCUCUGGGAGAAUCUUUCAAAAAAGGCUUAAACCCUGGUUAUCUAACUACUAAUCUGAAUGGCUAGAUGGCAAGGUGGAGACAGAACAACCUGAGUUCAAAUGUGGCCUCAGAUACUUACUAGCUGUAUGACCCUGGUAAGUCACGUAACCCUAUUUACCUAUGUCCUCAUUUAUAAAAUGAACUGAAGAAAGAAAUGGCAAACCAUUCGAGUAUUUGUGCCAAGAAAAUCCCAAAUAGGGUCACAAAAAGUCAGAUACACUGAAACCACAGAACAACAAUUCUGACUAGUUCUAUGGUUCCUGACCUUUUUCUUCUUGGCCAUUUGGAAGUAUUUUUCUUUGUUCUGGGAACUGAAGUUUGGUGAAUCUUUUUACCUGUGAUUUUUAUUGAUUUUACACUUUGAUCUCUAAUUCCAUUAAUUCUAGGCCAUUUUCUUUCAUGAUUUGUUAUAAUAUGGUAUAUAUGGAAUUUUUAUUUCAUCAUUAUUUUCAAGGAGUUUAAUUCUUUUUGAACGGUCCCUCAUCUUUUGCAAGUGAAUUUUUGAAAACAGUGGGUACUUUCUUGGCGUCUUUUAACUUUAUUUUUAAAUUUCCUGUUAAAAUUUUAUUUCCUACUU
RNAcentral lists this long non-coding RNA (1030 nucleotides) under Monodelphis domestica (gray short-tailed opossum). RNAcentral describes it as "lncRNA (ENSMODG00000048466.1)". The record is from RNAcentral. Lineage: Eukaryota; Metazoa; Chordata; Mammalia; Didelphimorphia; Didelphidae.